Gallus gallus (chicken) is the source of this 1910-nucleotide long non-coding RNA. RefSeq lists it as uncharacterized. The record is from RefSeq and is a predicted model, not a curated record. NCBI's taxonomy places the organism in Eukaryota, Metazoa, Chordata, Aves, Galliformes, Phasianidae. The transcript has 7 exons.
GUUUCGUGUCUUUCAAGAAAGACUUUGCAUUUCUGAUCCCAUUCUGCCAACUGUUGUUCAUCCUCUGGCUCUUGGCUGAUUCUUCGUUCGUGUUCUAGGAGUUGACGUGGUUGUGUCAGAAAUAUCAAACAGUUAUAUUCUUCAUAACUGACAACAGCAACAUUUGAAGCUGCCUGGAACUGGUGCUGUUCCCAAAGGUUUUGAGGGGCUGUAAAUACUCCAGUGUGGUGAGAUACCCCUUGGAAGCUGUUAGAAUGGAACCUGCCCGUGGAGAAAUCAAGGUGAAACUGUAAGAUAAUAAGGACAGGCAACGAGCUUUAUUGCUGCCCUGGUGUUUCAUCUGCAUGUUGUAGCUUCACCUCUUUCUGCAACAAAAAACAAUGAACUGCAAUCUUAGGGUUCUACAGCUCUUCACAGAGGUGAACAAAGUGCUGCGGUGGUGCAAUUUUGAGCAUCUUAAAUGAAUGUUUCUAUCCUGCAAUGUCAGAAAUAUGCAUGAGGUGUCCUGCACAUAGAGAGGAAAUUAAUAUCAUUUUGGGGGCAAAAAUCUACCUCUACCUAGAUGGAAGAUUUUCAUUCAUCCAUUUGUGAUAUGCAAACCACAAGCAGUGCUGAAGUACAAGAUUUCCUACAAUGAAGGGGAUACAGUGGACUUCUAUCAGUGAAAAGUGCAUAGAUGCAGGAGAAGGAGACCCUUGGGGUCUGAUGACUGGAGCAAAGGCACUCUUCUGUUUGACAGCAGGAAAGACGGAAGAGGAGAAUGGGAGGAUGGAAGAAGUGCUGGAGGAGCCAACUGUUGGACUUGAAGACAUUACUGCAAGAGAAGAAAAAGUUAUUCCUCAUCAGAGAUACAAUUAGACACGUUUGGUAUUGCCUUAAAUGUCUGUCCUGUUGGCUUGGCUGCUUGAGGUAUGUCUAAAGUAGAGAGGUAGGUAGUUAUAUUGAAUAGCUAGUUCAAAAGAAGAUAUGUCUAAUUAGCCUAAACUGUAAGAAGAACUAACCAAUAUUUCUUGUGUUUUCAAAGGAAUCCCCAGGUCUCAUUAAGUAGUAGUUAGAAAUAAGAAUAACAGUAUGCUGCAGACUUGGUCCUUUCCUUAAUGAAGUCUUACAGAGGGAAAUCAAGGUACGGAAGGGAAGAGUGACUUGCCUGUGGUCACCCUCAUAACUGGAAGUGCAAUAGUACUUACUUUAUCAGCGUAAAAAUAAUUUCACAGGAAAUUAAUCCAAAGUCCAGCUCUCAGCUAAUGUUCAUACACUUCUUCCUGGACAGAGAAGUCAUUUCAGAAUGUGUUUUACUAAGGAUAUUCAGAGUAGCCUCUUUGCUGUGACUGCUACUCACUUCGUCAUCUAACAUUGCAAAUGUACCUCAUUUCUAGUGGCUUUUGCUUUUUAUGUGGGAAUCUGCAUAAGGGUGAAAACUGAAGGAAAUACAGGUAGGGUUCAAUAUUCCUCUGUUAUUCUUGAAAGAUGGGAAUGUUUCUAGUUCAUACUAAAAAAUAUUAGAACAAAAAUUCUGAGUCUCUUACAGAAUUUUCACUAAAUCUCAGAAACUUCUCUUGAAAGAUAUUGCUGUUAUUUGAUGCAGUAAAUGAAAUUAAGCGGGACCAGGCACAAACCUAAAAGCAAAUCACUUACUUCCAUAAGGGGAUCCUGUUGGAGAGCCGUUAAUGAAACCAGGGGAGCCUGGAACGCCCAGGUUGGACAUGGGGACGUUGCUGUAGCCGUUCAUGCUAUUGCUGGAAGUGCUAUAAUUGGACUGUUGAGGUGUGGAACUGGAUGAGUAACCGCGGGGUGAGAUGCUGCUUGUAUUACGAAUGUAACCUAAAAAUAAAACACAUUUCAUCGAAUGCCAAGGAAUGAAUUUAGCUUAAAACUUUCUUCUGUAUAAAUAAAAAAAAAUAAAAACCCUG